This 775-nucleotide ribosomal RNA is filed under the name uncultured bacterium. RNAcentral's name for it is "partial 16S ribosomal RNA". The record is from RNAcentral.
UGCUCCCCACGCUUUCGCACCUCAGUGUCAGUAUUAGUCCAGGUGGCCGCCUUCGCCACUGAUGUUCCUUCCUAUAUCUACGCAUUUCACCGCUACACAGGAAAUUCCGCCACCCUCUACUAUACUCUAGCCAGACAGUUCUAACUGCAGUUCCCAGGUUGAGCCCAGGGCUUUCACAGCUAGCUUAUCAAACCACCUACGCGCGCUUUACGCCCAGUAAUUCCGAUUAACGCUCGCACCCUCCGUAUUACCGCGGCUGCUGGCACGGAGUUUGCCGGUGCUUCUUCUGCAGGUAACGUCAAGGCUCAAAAGUAUUAAUUUUGAACUUUUCCUCCCCACUGAAAGUGCUUUACAACCCUAGAGCCUUCUUCACACACGCGGCAUGGCUGCAUCAGGCUUUCGCCCAUUGUGCAAUAUUCCCCACUGCUGCCUCCCGUAGGAGUCUGGGCCGUGUCUCAGUCCCAGUGUGGCUGAUCAUCCUCUCAGACCAGCUAGAGAUCGUCGCCUUGGUGAGCCAUUACCUCACCAACUAGCUAAUCUCACGCAGGCUCAUCAAAUAGCGAAAGGUCUGUAAACAGAUCCCCUCCUUUCCCCCUCAGGGAUUAUGCGGUAUUAGCAGUCGUUUCCAACUGUUGUCCCCCACUACUCGGUAGAUUCCUACGCGUUACUCACCCGUCCGCCACUCGUCAGCAACUAGCAAGCUAGUUCUGUUACCGUUCGACUUGCAUGUGUUAAGCCUGCCGCCAGCGUUCAAUCUGAGCCAGGAUCAAACUCU